Molecule: transfer RNA, 48 nt
Filed under: Karenia brevis
Lineage: Eukaryota; Dinophyceae; Gymnodiniales; Kareniaceae
Description: partial Selenocysteine transfer RNA
Source: RNAcentral
GAGGAAUUGCUGCAUCUUGGACAGCGCUGCGAGAGGGCGGAAUCGAAC